UCUAUUUUUUUUUUUUUUUAAAAGACGCUUGUUCAAACAUAGAAAUGCUUUUCCAACUUUCCAUAUUGGGGGAAAUGACUCCUACACACCUCCUUCAUGUUUUUCGUUGUUUUUAUAUCGAAAUUAUUUUCGAUACAAAGAAAUGUCUCACAUCGAAGUUUCCAUAUAUCAUAGAUAACCGUAAAAAACAAAAGCGUCGACAGCAGGGUUCGAGAACCUGCGCGGGCGAAGCCCAACAGAUUUCAAGUCUGUCUCCUUAACCACUCGGACAUAUCGACCCAUUUGGCUUUUAUAUUUUUCCAAAAUUUAUCUAAAAGGGGCUAUGGGAUUGCUGAAGGCCUCUUCCAACGGCGUAUCGGGCUGUCGGCCCAUUCACCGAACUAAUGACGCAACGGCACAAAAACUCGCCAAUCGCCAUUACUCCACUCCACGGCUUCAUCUUCUUUUCUUCUUUCCUGUUGCCUAAACUCUCUUGAUAAUGUUCUGCAUUGAUGUUUGGCUCAACCAGUUUUCUAUUUCUUGAUUAUGGGGGUGGGAGGCAAAUUCUGGGAUUUACUAAAACCGUACGCCCGGCCCCAAGGACCCGAUUUCUUGAGAGAUAAACGGGUCGCCGUUGAUCUUUCCUAUUGGGUCGUCCAGCACGAGACAGCAAUUAAGUCCUAUGUCCGGAAACCUCAUCUUCGCCUCACCUUCUUCCGUACCAUCAACCUCUUCUCCAAGUACGGUGCGUUUCCAGUUUUUGUUGUUGAUGGUACCCCGUCGCCUCUGAAGUCGCGGGCGAGGAUUGGGCGGUUCUUUCGCUCCUCCGGCAUUGAUGUCACGGCUCUGACGGUGGCUGAAGAAGGUGUUUCGGUCGAGAGAAACCGGGCGUUUACAAAAUAUGUUGAAGAGUGCGUGGAGUUGCUUGAACUGUUUGGAAUGCCUGUUCUGAAAGCAAAUGGCGAAGCUGAAGCUUUGUGUGCCCAGCUAAAUUGUGAAGGUCAUGUAGAUGCUUGUAUCACAGCUGAUGGUGAUGCGUUCCUCUAUGGGGCUAAAUGUGUGAUUAAAUGCUUCAGGCCUAACACAAAAGAACCAUUUGAAUGCUACCAAUUGUCAGAUAUUGAAGCUGGUCUUGGAUUGAAGAGAAAACACUUGAUCGCCAUUUCUCUUUUGGUUGGAAACGACCAUGAUCUAAAUGGGGUGCAGGGGAUUGGGGUUGAUACAGCUCUUCGUUUUGUUCAAACUUUCAGUGAGGAUGAGAUAUUGAAUGGGUUUGCUUCUGUAUCCAUUCUUAAUUUUCCUUUUUCUUUUGCAUAGUGGAAAGUAUUGAACUAUAUCAUUACCUAAUAAGUUUAAUCACUGUUUUACACAGAUUAUGUGAAAUUGGCAAAGGUAAUACUCACAUACUGCAGGGUGCUUCAAAGCUUGUCAAAAAUGUUAUGCUCAAUCCAUAUGAAGACUCAGCAAAUUCAAAGGCUUCUCAUUGUUCCCUUUGUGGGCAUCCUGGGAGCAAAAGAGCACAUUUUAGGUCCUCUUGUGAGGUCUGUGCCACCAGCGAUGGUGAGGGUUGCAAAAAAAAGCCAGAAGGUUUUAAAUGUAAUUGCAUCUGCUGUGAUAAGGUGUAUUUUAUAUUUCUCUUUUUAAUUAUUGCACAGCUCUUACAUUAACCUGUAGGUUUUUAGCACCGUCGGCAGUUUUAACUUUUUUACAUUGUGCAAAAUGAUUAAUCUUACAAUUGUUUAAAGCAUUGCAUGAUGCUUGCAUUGCAGGAUCGUAAAGAAAAGGAGCAGCAAAAGCAUGAAAAUUGGCAGAUAAAAGUUUGUAACAAGAUUGCAAUGGAGCCAAAUUUUCCAAAUGAUGUUAUCAUUGAAAUGUAUUUGUGUUGUAAUCAUGGAAAAUUUACAGGUAUUUGUACUCUUGAGUUUUCUUUUUCAGUUUUCUUAGUAAGCCAUUAACUGUAGACUGCAUUACACAGUUGGCAGAUUUUCCAAUCUUGUGGAUUGGAUGCAAUAUAAAGUCCUCAUGAGGUUUCUUAGCUUUGAUGCCAUAAUCUGUCACAAGGAGUUCCUUUCCUUAAACCUAGCCUUUUUUCCAUUUUCUUAAAUCCUAUAUUGAGUUGUGAGUUUAUUUCUAUGUACAGAAGAUGAUGGCCCACGUUUAUCAUGGGAAAGCCCAAAUACAGAUAUGCUGGUUGAUUUCUUGGUAUUUCAUCAGCUUUGGGAACCAUCUUACAUUAGGCUGAGGAUGCUUCCUAUGUUGUCCACCAUAUACUUGAGAGAAAAGGCUGCUGUAAAGCUAGAGAAAACAAUGUUAUAUGGACAAUAUGAAUUUGAUUCUAUUCAGCGUGUCAAAAUAAGAUAUGGGCACCAAUCUUAUGUGAUCAAGUGGAAGAAAGCUGCACACAUGGUUAGCAGUGAUGUCCAUACAAACACUGCAGAAGAAUUGGAAAAGCAACAAGAAGAGAUUGUAGAAAAUGAUGAGACCAUGUCCAUCGAACAAUUAGAAGAGUACAAUGUCCCUCACAGUUAUGUGGAUGAUGGAUGUUGGUUUAUUUUUACUGAUGAAAAUAUGGAUCUUGUUCGAAAUGCUUUUCCAGAUGCAGUUGACAGAUUUUUACAGGAGAAAGAACUGAAUGAAUCAAAAAGAAGGUGUUCAAGCUUAACAUCUGAAGGGCGCAAUGGAAAGUCAGAAUCAGUGAAGUCAAGGGCUGUUCAACUGAAUAUAACUGAAUUUUACCGUUCCACCAAAGUACAAGUUCAUGCCACUGGAGAAGAUGAUGUAGCUAAUAAUUCUGGAAAUCAAGACAGUGUAGGAUCAAAAUUAAAGAGGAAGGUCUCGAGUUCUAACUAUCCAAAGUCUGUGAGACGCCGCCUUUUGUUCAAGUAGGACAUUUGGGGAAGAGUAAUAGUUAUUUUUUGUGUAUAAGCUUAAGAGUAACUUGUAAGUAAAUAUUAAUGAACUUUAGAGGCUUUUGGUGAUCUAUAGAAGACCCAUUUUCUUUUUGUACAAAUUUAGCCUUUUGUUUUUGUAAUGUAUUGGUUUAGGGAUUUUUUGAUCAUGCAGUUUACAACCUUAAGGGGUGAAAAUCAAAAAUUAUUAUGGUUUACAAUUCCUUGUUAUGAAAUGUAUAUAUAAUGUUUGGAAGUUCCAUUCCUU
Molecule: transfer RNA, 3135 nt
Filed under: Hevea brasiliensis (rubber tree)
Lineage: Eukaryota; Viridiplantae; Streptophyta; Magnoliopsida; Malpighiales; Euphorbiaceae
Source: RNAcentral